CGCUCAGAUAGAGGCGCGGCGUUCAUCAGUACCGCUCCGGCAAGGCCAGGCAGCCGCCGGACGGGGAAGGGUCCGCCGCCGAAGUGCCGGGACGAUGCCUGUCCUUCUGGUGCUGGGCCGUCAGGGAAUACCUGCCGGACUGUCACAAACCUUUGUGAAGCGCUAUCAAUGGC
Molecule: non-coding RNA, 173 nt
Organism: Oscillibacter sp. KLE 1745
Lineage: Bacteria; Bacillati; Bacillota; Clostridia; Eubacteriales; Oscillospiraceae
Source: Rfam